GAGUGCUUGCACUCAAUUGGAAAGAGGAGUGGCGGACGGGUGAGUAACACGUGGGUAACCUACCCAUCAGAGGGGGAUAACACUUGGAAACAGGUGCUAAUACCGCAUAACAGUUUAUGCCGCAUGGCAUAAGAGUGAAAGGCGCUUUCGGGUGUCGCUGAUGGAUGGACCCGCGGUGCAUUAGCUAGUUGGUGAGGUAACGGCUCACCAAGGCCACGAUGCAUAGCCGACCUGAGAGGGUGAUCGGCCACACUGGGACUGAGACACGGCCCAGACUCCUACGGGAGGCAGCAGUAGGGAAUCUUCGGCAAUGGACGAAAGUCUGACCGAGCAACGCCGCGUGAGUGAAGAAGGUUUUCGGAUCGUAAAACUCUGUUGUUAGAGAAGAACAAGGACGUUAGUAACUGAACGUCCCCUGACGGUAUCUAACCAGAAAGCCACGGCUAACUACGUGCCAGCAGCCGCGGUAAUACGUAGCUGGCAAGCGUUGUCCGGAUUUAUUGGGCGUAAAGCGAGCGCAGGCGGUUUCUUAAGUCUGAUGUGAAAGCCCCCGGCUCAACCGGGGAGGGUCAUUGGAAACUGGGAGACUUGAGUGCAGAAGAGGAGAGUGGAAUUCCAUGUGUAGCGGUGAAAUGCGUAGAUAUAUGGAGGAACACCAGUGGCGAAGGCGGCACUCUGGUCUGUAACUGACGCUGAGGCUCGAAAGCGUGGGGAGCAAACAGGAUUAGAUACCCUGGUAGUCCACGCCGUAAACGAUGAGUGCUAAGUGUUGGAGGGUUUCCGCCCUUCAGUGCUGCAGCAAACGCAUUAAGCACUCCGCCUGGGGAGUACGACCGCAGGGUGAAACUCAAAGGAAUUGACGGGGGGCCCGCACAAGCG
RNAcentral lists this ribosomal RNA (879 nucleotides) under Enterococcus faecalis. RNAcentral's name for it is "bacterial SSU rRNA". It matches the Rfam family "Bacterial small subunit ribosomal RNA", at positions 64 to 931 of the family's 1533-position model. The record is from RNAcentral. Lineage: Bacteria; Bacillati; Bacillota; Bacilli; Lactobacillales; Enterococcaceae.